AACGAACGCUGGCGGCAUGCCUAACACAUGCAAGUCGAACGAGACCUUCGGGUCUAGUGGCGCACGGGUGCGUAACGCGUGGGAACCUGCCCUUAGGUUCGGAAUAACUCCCCGAAAGGGGUGCUAAUACCGGAUAAUGUCUUCGGACCAAAGAUUUAUCGCCUUUGGAUGGGCCCGCGUUGGAUUAGCUAGUUGGUAGGGUAAAAGCCUACCAAGGCGACGAUCCAUAGCUGGUCUGAGAGGAUGAUCAGCCACACUGGGACUGAGACACGGCCCAGACUCCUACGGGAGGCAGCAGUGGGGAAUAUUGGACAAGGGGCGAAAGCCUGAUCCAGCAAUGCCGCGUGAGUGAUGAAGGCCUUAGGGUUGUAAAGCUCUUUUACCCGGGAUGAUAAUGACAGUACCGGGAGAAUAAGCGCCGGCUAGCUCCGUG
This 433-nucleotide ribosomal RNA is filed under the name uncultured bacterium. RNAcentral describes it as "partial 16S ribosomal RNA". It matches the Rfam family "Bacterial small subunit ribosomal RNA", at positions 29 to 507 of the family's 1533-position model. The record is from RNAcentral.